CCUACGGGUGGCAGCAGUGGGGAAUAUUGCACAAUGGGGGAAACCCUGCUGCAGCGACGCCGCGUGCGUGAAGAAGUAUUUCGGUAUGUAAAGCUCUAUCAGCAGGGACGAAAAUGACGGUUCGUGAUUAAGAAGCCCCGGCUAAAUACGUGCCAGCAGCCGCGGUAAUACGUAGGGGGCAAGCGUUAGCCGGAUUAACUGGGUGUAAAGGGAGCGUAGAAUGUAGCACAGGUCUGGAGGGAAAUCCCGGGGCUUAACCCCGGAACUGCUUUGGAAACUGUGCAGCUAGAGUGCAGGAGAGGUAAGUGGAAUUCAUAGUGUAGCGGUGAAAUGCGUAGAUAUUAGGAGGAACACCAGGGGCGAAGGCGGCUUACUGGAUUGAAACUGACGUUGAGGCUCGAAAGCGUGGGGAGCAAACAGGAUUAGAUACCCCGGUAGUC
RNAcentral lists this ribosomal RNA (440 nucleotides) under uncultured bacterium. RNAcentral describes it as "partial 16S ribosomal RNA". It matches the Rfam family "Bacterial small subunit ribosomal RNA", at positions 338 to 795 of the family's 1533-position model. The record is from RNAcentral.